GCUACCAUGUUGAGCACACCCAAGCCAUCCGUGGAGAGGGCCCCAGGGUGAGGAAUGGAGGCCUCCAGCCUUCAGCCAUCUCAGAUGAGGAUCUCAGAUGAGGAUCCUCCAGCUCUAGCCAGGCCUCCAGAUGUCUACAGCCCUGGCCAACAGCUUGACUGCAAUCCCAUGAGAGCCUGAGCUAGAAACCCUCAGGGUCUACCAUGCCCUUGGGGAGGAAGAAGGGAAGAUAACAGUUCCCAUUUGACAGGAAAGAGGCUGAUCAUCUUAGAGUUCAAGUGACCACAGUCAUCCAGCAAAGACUGUAAAGCAGUGAAGGCCCCCUUCCUAUCAAGGCACCAAUCACCACCAGGGAUUGCACGGGUCCUGAGACAGCUGUCUCCCACAGGACAGUGCCUCAAAUGGUUCUAUCAUGCUUCCUUUGUUCUGCUCUUCUCUGGCAUAAUUAUGUCCUGGUUUCCAUUCACCUCCAACCUAGUAGCCCUCCUAGAGACACACCCAGACAACCUGUGUUCCUUUGAGAAGGUGGUCAUAGUGUCCUAGGUGUGGUUGAGCCACAACCCGAACAUGACUGUCACAUCCAUCUCUGCACUUUUCACAGAAGCCUUUUGUUAAGACAACACACACUUCUGGCCUGUCAUCUGUUUUGUAAAUAAAGGUUUAUUGGUACACAGCCAUGCC
Molecule: non-coding RNA, 681 nt
Organism: Macaca mulatta (Rhesus monkey)
Lineage: Eukaryota; Metazoa; Chordata; Mammalia; Primates; Cercopithecidae
Source: RefSeq, a predicted model, not a curated record